AUGGGUGACGAGGCGAUGAGAGACAGAGGAGAGGAGGAAGAGACGGAGGGGAUGGAGAGGAAGGAUGCCGGCGCGACCAAGAAGGUGGCCUUCUUCGGCAUGUUCAGGUACGCCAGGCGCGCCGACGUUGCGCUGAUGGGCGUGGGCACGGUGGCGGCAAUGGUGAACGGCAUGUCGGAGCCGCUCAUGACGGUGGUCUUCGCCGCGGUCAUCGAGUCCUUCGGCGGCAGCGACGACAGCGCCGUCCUCCACCGGGUCAGCAAGGUUGUUGUGUACUACAUCUAUUUGGGAAUUGGGACGGCACUAGCUUCAUUUCUCCAGGUGUCGUGCUGGACAAUGGCUGGAGAAAGGCAGUCAGCACGCAUCCGAUCUCUCUACCUCGAAGCUGUUCUCAAGCAGGAUGUUUCAUUCUUUGAUGUGGAGAUGACAACUGGGGAAGCAAUUUCUAGAAUGUCUGCAGAUACUGUACUGGUACAAGAUGCUCUUGGAGAGAAGCUUUUGACAACCUUUGUUGGAGGUUUUGUCAUCGGAUUCAUAAGAGGCUGGAUGUUAGCUCUGGUUAUGCUGGCAUGCAUACCACCAAGUAUUCUCUCUUUUGCAACCGUCUCUCGACUACGUGCUCAAAUAUCUGCCAGGAGGCAAGCAUCAUAUGACGACGCGGGCAAUGUUGUCGAGCAGAGCAUCAGAGCUAUAAGAACGGUUGUCUCCUUCAAUGGUGAGAAGAAAGCAGUUGCAUUGUAUAAUGCUCUCAUAAAAAAGGCGUACAAGGCUACUGUCUUGGAAGGGCUUGUCACUGGUCUUGGAAUAGGCUGUAUCUUUUGUGUUGUCUUCUGCAGUUACUCUCUAGCCUUUUGGUAUGGCGCGAAGUUAAUCAUCAGCAAAGGAUAUACUGGAGGGCAGGUCAUCAAUGUUGUAUUUGCAAUUCUUACUGGAUCAAUGGCUAUAGGUAAUGCAUCACCAUCGAUUUCUGCUAUUGCAGAAGGCCAAUCUGCAGCACACAGGUUGUUUGAAAUAAUUAACAGAAAACCAAAGAUUGACAUCAGCGACACUUCUGGAAUAGAAUUAGAUGAUAUCAAGGGCGACGUCGAACUGAACAAUGUAUUCUUUAGAUACCCAGCAAGGCCUGAGCAAUUGAUACUUAAUGGGUUGUCUCUACAAGUGCCUAGUGGUACUACCAUGGCUAUAGUUGGAGAGAGUGGAAGUGGAAAAUCAACAUUAAUUAGUCUGGUAGAGAGAUUCUACGACCCACAGGCUGGUGAAGUGCUGAUAGAUGGAAUCAACAUCAAGAGUUUGAAACUCAAGUGGAUAAGAGGGAAGAUCAGUCUUGUUAGUCAGGAACCAUUACUUUUUAUGACCUCCAUCAAAGAUAACAUAACCUAUGGUAAAGAGGAUGCUACGCUUGAGGAGAUCAAGAGAGCAGCUGAGCUGGCAAAUGCAGCAAACUUCAUCGAAAAGCUGCCUAAUGCAUAUGAGACAAUGGUUGGUCAGAGUGGUGCUCAGCUUUCUGGAGGGCAGAAGCAACGGAUUGCCAUUGCAAGAGCGAUCCUUAGAAGUCCAAAAGUCCUUCUGUUGGAUGAAGCUACUAGUGCUUUGGAUGUGGAGUCUGAGCGAGUAGUUCAAGAAGCACUAAAUAGGAUCAUGGUAGGGAUAACGACACUCAUUGUUGCUCACCGUCUGAGUACAGUCAGGAAUGCAGAUUGCAUAGCAGUGGUUCAUCAAGGAAAGGUAGUUGAACAAGGUGCCCAUGACCAGUUGAUCAAGGAUCCUGACGGAGCUUACUGUCAGCUUAUUCAGUUACAACAGGUCCAUACCGAAGGAAUGCAUGAGGUGCCAUAUUCAUCAGGUUCAAGACUUAAAAGUAGAAGUUUAUCUUUGGAACAAUCUAUGAGAGAUUCUCCCAGGAAUAGAAGACAGCACUCUGUAAAACCCCUUGGACUCUCUGGAUCUGAUGAUUUGCACGGGUCUGCUGAUACCAGCAGACAAGAGCACAAAGAAUUUGGUGAUAGUGAAGCUCCUAAGAAAGCACCAAUUGGACGCCUUUUUAAUCUUAAUAAGCCAGAAGCACCAAUUCUCCUAUUAGCUGUUAUAGCUGCUUUUGUGCAUGGACUUCUUUUCCCAUUAUUCAGUAUUAUGAUGUCUGGUGGUAUAAGGACAUUCUACUAUCCAGCACACAAACUUCGAAAAGAUUCUACAUUUUGGGCAUUGCUAUGCCUUCUGUUGGCAAUCAUUUCUCUGAUUGCAAUCCAAUUGGAAUUUUUCUUAUUUGGAAUGGCCGGUGGGAAACUUGUAGAACGUGUCCGUGCUUUUUCUUUCCAGAGCAUCAUGCAUCAAGAGGUUGCUUGGUUCGACGAUCCUUCUAAUUCCAGUGGUGCACUUGGUGCAAGGCUGUUUAUUGAUGCUUUGAACAUCCGACGCCUUGUAGGAGAUAACUUGGCCAUACUAGUGCAGUGCACAAUAACACUUAUUUCUGGCUUCGCCAUAGCAUUUGCUUCUGACUGGAAGCUUACACUGAUCGUCAUAUGUGUCAUUCCUUUUCUGGGUUUACAGAAUUAUAUUCAAGUAAAGUUCUUGAAUAGUUUCAGUGAAGAUGCUAAGGUGAUGUAUGAAGAUGCAAGUCAAGUUGUAGCCGAAGCAGUCGGCAGUAUUCGAACUGUAGCAUCUUUCUGCGCAGAGAAGAGAGUAAUUACGAUGUACAGCAAAAAAUGCCAAGCUACAAUGAAACAGGGAAUUAGAAGUGGAAUGGUUGGAGGCCUCGGAUUCAGUUUCUCAAACUUAAUGUUGUAUCUCACAUAUGCUCUUUGUUUCUAUGUUGGUGCAUUGUUUGUACAUGACGGCAAAUCAACCUUUAAAGAUGUUUUCAGAGUUUAUUUUGCUUUGGUUUUCACAGCUUUUGGAAUUUCCCAAACAAGUGCAAUGGCAUCAGAUUCAACAAAAGCUCAAGAGUCCACAACAUCCAUACUAGCUGUCAUAGACAGGAGGUCCAAAAUUGACCCAACUAGUGAUGAAGGCAUAAAGCUAGAGAAAGUUGAUGGCAACAUAGAUUUCAACCAUGUGAGCUUCAAGUACCCAUCCCGCCCAGAUGUUCAAGUAUUCAGUGACUUUACUCUGGGCAUUCCCUCCGGAAAGACUACUGCACUUGUUGGAGAGAGUGGCAGUGGCAAGUCCACAGUAAUUGCUUUGCUAGAGCGAUUCUAUGAUCCAGACUCUGGCACAAUCUCACUAGAUGGAACAGAACUCAAAAACUUAACACUGAGUUGGUUAAGAGACCAGAUGGGGCUGGUAAGCCAAGAACCAGUGCUUUUCAAUGACACGAUUCGUGCCAACAUAGCAUAUGGAAAGCGCGGAGAAGCAACUGAAGAAGAGAUUAUCACUGUCGCCAAGGCGGCCAACGCUCAUGAGUUCAUAUCGAGCUUGCCUCAGGGAUACAACACCAAUGUCGGUGAGAGGGGAACACAACUAUCUGGUGGGCAAAAACAACGGGUAGCUAUUGCAAGGGCAAUCUUGAAGGACCCUAGAGUACUUCUGCUAGACGAGGCAACAAGUGCCCUGGACGCUGAAUCAGAGCGUAUUGUUCAAGAUGCAUUGGACAAGGUGAUGGUAAGCAGGACCACCAUUGUUGUAGCACACCGUCUGUCCACGAUCAAAGGGGCAGAUACAAUCGCAGUCAUCAAAGAUGGUUCGGUUGCCGAGAAGGGGAAGCAUGAAUCGCUCAUGGGCAUCAAGGGUGGAGUCUAUGCAUCGCUGGUCGAGCUACACUCAAAGGCGUCAGCGUCAUAA
RNAcentral lists this ribosomal RNA (3777 nucleotides) under Triticum aestivum (bread wheat). RNAcentral's name for it is "partial small subunit ribosomal RNA". The record is from RNAcentral. Lineage: Eukaryota; Viridiplantae; Streptophyta; Magnoliopsida; Poales; Poaceae.